Molecule: small nucleolar RNA, 134 nt
Organism: Chiloscyllium plagiosum (whitespotted bambooshark)
Lineage: Eukaryota; Metazoa; Chordata; Chondrichthyes; Orectolobiformes; Hemiscylliidae
Product: small nucleolar RNA SNORA44
Source: RefSeq, a predicted model, not a curated record
UUGCAUGGUAACCAAGAGCUGCAGCUUCACAGUUGGUAGUUGUGGAUUCUCCAACAUCAUGCAAGAAAAUUGGAGAGACUUUGACAGUGUUGGUCCUGUGUUUCCUCUGACUGUCACUCAAUUCUCCUACAUCU